RNAcentral lists this small RNA (151 nucleotides) under Arabidopsis thaliana (thale cress). RNAcentral's name for it is "ATSL207180". The record is from RNAcentral. Lineage: Eukaryota; Viridiplantae; Streptophyta; Magnoliopsida; Brassicales; Brassicaceae.
AGGAGGUCACUAUUACGAGAGUGGAUUGACCCAGUUUUUGAAUCUAUCGUUUAGGGUUUCUGCCUUUCACUUGUUAGCCACCUGAUGAACCCUAGAGUUGCCCUUAUCAAUGAAUCCAUCCUUAGGACUUCUAUUCUUCUUAGAUUUAUUU